UGGGGAAUAUUGGGCAAUGGAGGAAACUCUGACCCAGCAACGCCGCGUGAAGGAUGAAGGUUUUCGGAUUGUAAACUUCUGUUGCGAGGGAUGAAGAAUGACGGUACCUCGUGAGGAAGCCCCGGCAAACUACGUGCCAGCAGCCGCGGUAAUACGUAGGGGGCAAGCGUUGUCCGGAAUGACUGGGCGUAAAGGGAGUGUAGGCGGCCUUUUAAGUUAUAUGUGAAAGCCCCCGGCUUAACCGAGGAACUGCAUAUAAAACUGGAGGGCUGGAGUGCAGGAGAGGUAAGCGGAAUUUCUAGUGUAGCGGUGGAAUGCGUAGAUAUUAGGAAGAACACCGGAGGCGAAGGCGGCUUACUGGACUGUAACUGACGCUGAGGCUCGAAAGCGUGGGGAGCAAACAGG
Molecule: ribosomal RNA, 405 nt
Filed under: uncultured bacterium
Lineage: Bacteria
Description: bacterial SSU rRNA
Rfam family: Bacterial small subunit ribosomal RNA
Source: RNAcentral